AACGCACAUUGCGCCCCUUGGUAUUCCGAGGGGCAUGCCUGUUCGAGCGUCAUUUCACCAAUCAAGCACUGCUUGGUAUUGGGCGUCCGGCCCCGCGAGAGCGGCGGCCGCGCCCCAAACCCUUCGGCGGAGCCACUCGGUCUCUGGGCGUAGUAGAAUUACUUCAAUAACGUCCUGGGAGCCCUUGGGGUCUCCCGCCGUCAAACCACCAAAUAUUUUUUCAGGUUGACCUCGGAUCAGGUAGGGAUACCCGCUGAACUUAA
Molecule: unclassified non-coding RNA, 263 nt
Filed under: uncultured fungus
Lineage: Eukaryota; Fungi
Description: partial contains 5.8S ribosomal RNA, internal transcribed spacer 2, and large subunit ribosomal RNA
Rfam family: 5.8S ribosomal RNA (bases 1-52)
Source: RNAcentral